RNAcentral lists this ribosomal RNA (613 nucleotides) under uncultured bacterium. Its description in RNAcentral is "bacterial SSU rRNA". It matches the Rfam family "Bacterial small subunit ribosomal RNA", at positions 631 to 1241 of the family's 1533-position model. The record is from RNAcentral.
AACUCCUGGUCUUGAGGUCGAGAGAGGUGAGUAGAAUUCCAGGUGUAGCGGUGAAAUGCGUAGAGAUCUGGAGGAAUACCGAUGGCGAAGGCAGCUUCCUGGCAUAAUAUUGACACUGAGAUUCGAAAGCGUGGGUAGCAAACAGGAUUAGAUACCCUGGUAGUCCACGCCGUAAACGAUGUCUACUAGCCGUUGGGGUCCUUGAGACUUUAGUGGCGCAGUUAACGCGAUAAGUAGACCGCCUGGGGAGUACGGCCGCAAGGUUAAAACUCAAAUGAAUUGACGGGGGCCCGCACAAGCGGUGGAGCAUGUGGUUUAAUUCGAUGCAACGCGAAGAACCUUACCUGGUCUUGACAUAGUGAGAAUCUUUCAGAGAUGAGAGAGUGCCUUCGGGAAUUCACAUACAGGUGCUGCAUGGCUGUCGUCAGCUCGUGUCGUGAGAUGUUGGGUUAAGUCCCGCAACGAGCGCAACCCUUUUCCUUAUUUGCCAGCGAGUUAAGUCGGGAACUUUAAGGAUACUGCNCAGUGACAAACUGGAGGAAGGCGGGGACGACGUCAAGUCAUCAUGGCCCUUACGACCAGGGCUACACACGUGCUAUCAAUGGUAGGUACA